UACGGGGGGGGCAAGCGUUGUUCGGAAUUACUGGGCGUAAAGGGCUCGUAGGUGGCCAACUAAGUCAGACGUGAAAUCCCUCGGCUUAACCGGGGAACUGCGUCUGAUACUGGAUGGCUUGAGAUUGGGAGAGGGAUGCGGAACUCCAGGUGUAGCGGUGAAAUGCGUAGAUAUCUGGAGGAACACCGGUGGCGAAGGCGGCAUCCUGGACCAACACUGACACUGAGGAGCGAAAGCCAGGGGAGCAAACGGG
Molecule: ribosomal RNA, 253 nt
Filed under: uncultured bacterium
Lineage: Bacteria
Description: partial 16S ribosomal RNA
Rfam family: Bacterial small subunit ribosomal RNA
Source: RNAcentral